UCUCACGGUAGUUUUCUUUUUGGCACAUUUGUUAAGUUUUCAAAUGGGCCUAACACUGUCACAUGUAUUAUAUUGGAGCUGGCAAAGGCCUGUGACAAAGAGAUCUCUCUCAAGCCUUUCACGCCUUUCCUCCAUCAGAGAAUGGCUCCCACAUGU
This is a small nucleolar RNA of Cercocebus atys (sooty mangabey), 156 nucleotides long. The record is from Ensembl. Lineage: Eukaryota; Metazoa; Chordata; Mammalia; Primates; Cercopithecidae.